AUUGAACGCUGGCGGCAUGCCUUACACAUGCAAGUCGAACGGUAACAGGUUAAGCUGACGAGUGGCGAACGGGUGAGUAAUGUAUCGGAACGUGCCCAGUCGUGGGGGAUAACUGCUCGAAAGAGCAGCUAAUACCGCAUACGACCUGAGGGUGAAAGCGGGGGAUCGCAAGACCUCGCGCGAUCGGAGCGGCCGAUAUCAGAUUAGGUAGUUGGUGGGGUAAAGGCCUACCAAGCCUACGAUCUGUAGCUGGUCUGAGAGGACGACCAGCCACACUGGGACUGAGACACGGCCCAGACUCCUACGGGAGGCAGCAGUGGGGAAUAUUGCGCAAUGGGCGAAAGCCUGACGCAGCGACGCCGCGUGGGUGAUGAAGGCCUGGUCGUAAAGGACCCUCGUCGCAGGGAAGGAAUAAGCAUCGGUAUAAUAACG
This 432-nucleotide ribosomal RNA is filed under the name uncultured bacterium. RNAcentral's name for it is "bacterial SSU rRNA". It matches the Rfam family "Bacterial small subunit ribosomal RNA", at positions 29 to 474 of the family's 1533-position model. The record is from RNAcentral.